CCUACGGGAGGCAGCAGUGGGGAAUAUUGCUCAAUGGGCGAAAGCCUGAUGCAGCAACGCCGCGUGAGCGAUGAAGGCCUUCGGGUCGUAAAGCUCUGUCCUCAAGGAAGAUAAUGACGGUACUUGAGGAGGAAGCCCCGGCUAACUACGUGCCAGCAGCCGCGGUAAUACGGAGGGGGCUAGCGUUAUCCGGAAUCACUGGGCGUAAAGGGUGCGUAGGUGGUUGCUUAAGUCAGAGGUGAAAGGCUACGGCUAAACCGUAGUAAGCCUUUGACACUGGGAAACUUGAGGGCAGGAGAGGAAAGUGGAAUUCCUGGUGUAGCGGUGAAAUGCGUAGAUAUUAGGAGGAACAC
RNAcentral lists this ribosomal RNA (353 nucleotides) under uncultured bacterium. RNAcentral's name for it is "partial 16S ribosomal RNA". It matches the Rfam family "Bacterial small subunit ribosomal RNA", at positions 338 to 709 of the family's 1533-position model. The record is from RNAcentral.